UCUCGUGACUGCGUGCCUUUUGAAGAAUGAGCCUGCGAGUUUGCGGUGUGUUGCGAGGUUAACCCGUGUGGGGAAGCCGUAGCGAAAGCGAGUCCGAAUAGGGCGGUUUAGUAGCGCGCUCAAGACCCGAAGCGGAGUGAUCUAGCCAUGGGCAGGUUGAAGCGGAGGUAAGACUUCGUGGAGGACCGAACCCACCAGGGUUGAAAACCUGGGGGAUGACCUGUGGUUAGGGGUGAAAGGCCAAUCAAACUCCGUGAUAGCUGGUUCUCCCCGAAAUGCAUUUAGGUGCAGCGUCGUGUGUUUCUUGCCGGAGGUAGAGCACUGGAUAGGCGAUGGGCCCUACCGGGUUACUGACCUUAGCCAAACUCCGAAUGCCGGUAAGUGAGAGCGCGGCAGUGAGACUGUGGGGGAUAAGCUCCAUGGUCGAGAGGGAAACAGCCCAGAGCAUCGACUAAGGCCCCUAAGCGUACGCUAAGUGGGAAAGGAUGUGGAGUCGCAGAGACAACCAGGAGGUUGGCUUAGAAGCAGCCACCCUUGAAAGAGUGCGUAAUAGCUCACUGGUCUAGUGAUUCCGCGCCGACAAUGUAGCGGGGCUCAAGCGUACCGCCGAAGUCGUGUCAUUGCGAUAUGUACCCCCAACGGGGAUCGUGAUGGGUAGGGGAGCGUCGUGUGCCGGGUGAAGCAGCACCGGAAGGUAGUUGUGGACGGUUCACGAGUGAGAAUGCAGGCAUGAGUAGCGAUUCACACGUGAGAAACGUGUGCGCCGAUUGACUAAGGGUUCCUGGGUCAAGCUGAUCUGCCCAGGGUAAGUCGGGACCUAAGGCGAGGCCGACAGGCGUAGUCGAUGGAUAACCGGUUGAUAUUCCGGUACCCGCUGUGAAGCGUCAAACAUCGAACCAGGCGAUGCUAAGUCCGUGAAGCCGUUCCGGACCCUUCGGGGAAAGGAAAGUGGUGGAGCCGACGAACCAGACUUGCAGUAGGUGAGUGAUGGGGUGACGCAGGAAGGUAGUCCAGCCCGGGCGGUGGUUGUCCCGGGGUAAGGGUGUAGGCCGGUGUGUAGGUAAAUCCGCACACCUUGUGGCUGAGACCUGAUGCCGAGCCGAUUGUGGUGAAGUGGAUGAUCCUAUGCUGUCGAGAAAAGCCUCUAGCGAGUUUCAUGGCGGCCCGUACCCUAAACCGACUCAGGUGGUCAGGUAGAGAAUACCGAGGCGUUCGGGUGAACUAUGGUUAAGGAACUCGGCAAAAUGCCCCCGUAACUUCGGGAGAAGGGGGGCCACACCUGGUGAGAGUACUUGCUGCUCGAGCUGGGGGUGGCCGCAGAGACCAGCGAGAAGCGACUGUUUACUAAAAACACAGGUCCGUGCGAAGCCGUAAGGCGAUGUAUACGGACUGACGCCUGCCCGGUGCUGGAACGUUAAGGGGACCGGUUAGUCAUUCUUCGGGAUGGCGAAGCUGAGAACUUAAGCGCCAGUAAACGGCGGUGGUAACUAUAACCAUCCUAAGGUAGCGAAAUUCCUUGUCGGGUAAGUUCCGACCUGCACGAAUGGCGUAACGACUUCUCGACUGUCUCAACCAUAGGCCCGGUGAAAUUGCACUACGAGUAAAGAUGCUCGUUUCGCGCAGCAGGACGGAAAGACCCCGGGACCUUUACUACAGUUUGAUAUUGGUGUUCGGUUCGGCUUGUGUAGGAUAGGUGGGAGACUUUGAAGCGGGCACGCCAGUGUUCGUGGAGUCGUCGUUGAAAUACCACUCUGGUCGUGCUGGAUGUCUAACCUGGGUCCGUGAUCCGGAUCAGGGACAGUGUCUGAUGGGUAGUUUAACUGGGGCGGUUGCCUCCUAAAGAGUAACGGAGGCGCCCAAAGGUUCCCUCAGCCUGGUUGGCAAUCAGGUGUUGAGUGUAAGUGCACAAGGGAGCUUGACUGUGAGACCGACGGGUCGAGCAGGGACGAAAGUCGGGACUAGUGAUCCGGCGGUGGCUUGUGGAAGCGCCGUCGCUCAACGGAUAAAAGGUACCCCGGGGAUAACAGGCUGAUCUUCCCCAAGAGUCCAUAUCGACGGGAUGGUUUGGCACCUCGAUGUCGGCUCGUCGCAUCCUGGGGCUGGAGUCGGUCCCAAGGGUUGGGCUGUUCGCCCAUUAAAGCGGUACGCGAGCUGGGUUUAGAACGUCGUGAGACAGUUCGGUCCCUAUCCGCUGUGCGCGUAGGAGUCUUGAGAAGGGCUGUCCCUAGUACGAGAGGACCGGGACGGACGAACCUCUGGUGUGCCAGUUGUUCUGCCAAGGGCAUGGCUGGUUGGCUACGUUCGGGAGGGAUAACCGCUGAAAGCAUCUAAGCGGGAAGCCUGCUUCGAGAUGAGGACUCCCACCCACUUGAUGGGGUAAGGCUCCCAGUAGACGACUGGGUUGAUAGGCCGGAUCUGGAAGCACGGUAACGUGUGGAGGUGACCGGUACUAAUAGGCCGAGGGCUUGUCCUCAGUUG
Molecule: ribosomal RNA, 2478 nt
Filed under: Streptomyces viridochromogenes
Lineage: Bacteria; Bacillati; Actinomycetota; Actinomycetes; Kitasatosporales; Streptomycetaceae
Description: bacterial LSU rRNA
Rfam family: Bacterial large subunit ribosomal RNA
Source: RNAcentral